RNAcentral lists this ribosomal RNA (948 nucleotides) under uncultured Pseudomonas sp. RNAcentral describes it as "bacterial SSU rRNA". It matches the Rfam family "Bacterial small subunit ribosomal RNA", at positions 8 to 951 of the family's 1533-position model. The record is from RNAcentral. Lineage: Bacteria; Pseudomonadati; Pseudomonadota; Gammaproteobacteria; Pseudomonadales; Pseudomonadaceae.
AGGGUUUGAUUAUGGCUCAGAUUGAACGCUGGCGGCAGGCCUAACACAUGCAAGUCGAGCGGUAGAGAGGUGCUUGCACCUCUUGAGAGCGGCGGACGGGUGAGUAAUGCCUAGGAAUCUGCCUGGUAGUGGGGGAUAACGCUCGGAAACGGACGCUAAUACCGCAUACGUCCUACGGGAGAAAGCAGGGGACCUUCGGGCCUUGCGCUAUCAGAUGAGCCUAGGUCGGAUUAGCUAGUUGGUGGGGUAAUGGCUCACCAAGGCGACGAUCCGUAACUGGUCUGAGAGGAUGAUCAGUCACACUGGAACUGAGACACGGUCCAGACUCCUACGGGAGGCAGCAGUGGGGAAUAUUGGACAAUGGGCGAAAGCCUGAUCCAGCCAUGCCGCGUGUGUGAAGAAGGUCUUCGGAUUGUAAAGCACUUUAAGUUGGGAGGAAGGGCAUUAACCUAAUACGUUAGUGUUUUGACGUUACCGACAGAAUAAGCACCGGCUAACUCUGUGCCAGCAGCCGCGGUAAUACAGAGGGUGCAAGCGUUAAUCGGAAUUACUGGGCGUAAAGCGCGCGUAGGUGGUUCGUUAAGUUGGAUGUGAAAUCCCCGGGCUCAACCUGGGAACUGCAUUCAAAACUGUCGAGCUAGAGUAUGGUAGAGGGUGGUGGAAUUUCCUGUGUAGCGGUGAAAUGCGUAGAUAUAGGAAGGAACACCAGUGGCGAAGGCGACCACCUGGACUGAUACUGACACUGAGGUGCGAAAGCGUGGGGAGCAAACAGGAUUAGAUACCCUGGUAGUCCACGCCGUAAACGAUGUCAACUAGCCGUUGGGAGCCUUGAGCUCUUAGUGGCGCAGCUAACGCAUUAAGUUGACCGCCUGGGGAGUACGGCCGCAAGGUUAAAACUCAAAUGAAUUGACGGGGGCCCGCACAAGCGGUGGAGCAUGUGGUUUAAUU